GACGAACGCUGGCGGCGUGCUUAACACAUGCAAGUCGAACGGAAAGGCCCUGCUUGCAGGGUACUCGAGUGGCGAACGGGUGAGUAACACGUGGGUGAUCUGCCCUUCACUUCGGGAUAAGCCUGGGAAACUGGGUCUAAUACCGGCUAGGAGCCAUUUUUAGUGUGAUGGUUGGAAAGUUUUUUCGGUGUAGGAUGAGCUCGCGGCCUAUCAGCUUGUUGGUGGGGUAAUGGCCUACCAAGGCGGCGACGGGUAGCCGGCCUGAGAGGGUGGACGGCCACAUUGGGACUGAGAUACGGCCCAGACUCCUACGGGAGGCAGCAGUGGGGAAUAUUGCACAAUGGGCGCAAGCCUGAUGCAGCGACGCCGCGUGGGGGAUGACGGCCUUCGGGUUGGAAACUCCUUUCGCUAGGGACGAAGCUUUUUGUGACGGUACCUAGAUAAGAAGCACCGGCUAACUACGUG
Molecule: ribosomal RNA, 465 nt
Filed under: uncultured bacterium
Lineage: Bacteria
Description: partial 16S ribosomal RNA
Rfam family: Bacterial small subunit ribosomal RNA
Source: RNAcentral